Molecule: transfer RNA, 74 nt
Filed under: Pseudomonadales bacterium
Lineage: Bacteria; Pseudomonadati; Pseudomonadota; Gammaproteobacteria; Pseudomonadales
Also listed under: 2 other names
Description: tRNA-Gln
Rfam family: tRNA
About the family: Transfer RNA (tRNA) molecules are approximately 80 nucleotides in length. Their secondary structure includes four short double-helical elements and three loops (D, anti-codon, and T loops). Further hydrogen bonds mediate the characteristic L-shaped molecular structure. tRNAs have two regions of fundamental functional importance: the anti-codon, which is responsible for specific mRNA codon recognition, and the 3' end, to which the tRNAs corresponding amino acid is attached (by aminoacyl-tRNA synthetases). tRNAs cope with the degeneracy of the genetic code in two manners: having more than one tRNA (with a specific anti-codon) for a particular amino acid; and 'wobble' base-pairing, i.e. permitting non-standard base-pairing at the 3rd anti-codon position.
Source: RNAcentral
UCGGUGCUCGUCCAAUGGUAAGACUCUGGACUCUGAAUUCAGAAAUUGAGGUUCGAAUCCUCAGCACCGAGCCA